RNAcentral lists this ribosomal RNA (447 nucleotides) under uncultured organism. Its description in RNAcentral is "partial 16S ribosomal RNA". It matches the Rfam family "Bacterial small subunit ribosomal RNA", at positions 335 to 798 of the family's 1533-position model. The record is from RNAcentral.
ACUCCUGCGGGAGGCAGCAGUGGGGAAUAUUGGACAAUGGGCGCAAGCCUGAUCCAGCCAUGCCGCGUGAGUGAUGAAGGCCCUAGGGUUGUAAAGCUCUUUCACCGGUGAAGAUAAUGACGGUAACCGGAGAAGAAGCCCCGGCUAACUUCGUGCCAGCAGCCGCGGUAAUACGAAGGGGGCUAGCGUUGUUCGGAUUUACUGGGCGUAAAGCGCACGUAGGCGGACUAUUAAGUCAGGGGUGAAAUCCCGGGGCUCAACCCCGGAACUGCCUUUGAUACUGGUAGUCUUGAGUUCGAGAGAGGUGAGUGGAAUUCCGAGUGUAGAGGUGAAAUUCGUAGAUAUUCGGAGGAACACCAGUGGCGAAGGCGGCUCACUGGCUCGAUACUGACGCUGAGGUGCGAAAGCGUGGGGAGCAAACAGGAUUAGAAACCCUAGUAGUCCCAU